This 659-nucleotide ribosomal RNA is filed under the name Megasyllis corruscans. Its description in RNAcentral is "bacterial SSU rRNA". It matches the Rfam family "Eukaryotic small subunit ribosomal RNA", at positions 24 to 622 of the family's 1831-position model. The record is from RNAcentral. Lineage: Eukaryota; Metazoa; Annelida; Polychaeta; Phyllodocida; Syllidae.
UCAUAUGCUUGUCUCAAAGACUAAGCCAUGCAUGUGCCAGUACGAGCGAGUACACAGUGAAACUGCGAAUGGCUCAUUAAAUCAGUUGUGGUUUAUUAGAUCGUUGCCCCCCACUAGUUGAAUAACUGUGGAAAAUCCAGAGCUAAUGCAUGCAGCAAUGCCUCGAUCCCUUCACUGGGAGAGGGGCGCAGUUAUUAGACCAAGACCAACCGCGGUGUGGCCUGCCCGCCCCCCUCGUGGGGGUGUGGCUGUGCCCCCGUGUCGCUCUGUGGUGACUCUGGAUAACCUCGGGCUGAUCGCACGGUUGCCCCCCGGGCACCGGCGACGUAUCUUUCAAAUGUCUGCCCUAUCAAAUGUCGAAGGGAGGUGCCUUGCCUCCCUUGUUGGCAACGGGUGACGGGGAAUCAGGGUUCGGUUCCGGAGAGGGAGCAUGAGAGUCGGCUACCACGUCCAAGGAAGGCAGCAGGCGCGCAAAUUACCCACUCCUGACACGGGGAGGUAGUGACGAAAACUAACGGUGCGGGACUCUGUUGAGGCUCCGCAACCGGAAUGAGUACACUUUAAAUCCUUGUAUCGAGGAUCCAUUGGAGGGCAAGUCUGGUGCCAGCAGCCGCGGUAAUUCCAGCUCCAAUAGCGUAUAUUAAAGUUGUUGCAGUUAA